AAUUCAGGUAUUUCCGACAGCACGUGAAAGCAGCGUGUGUUUACAUGAUGCUGCACGCCUUGCUGCGGUACAAGCACCUGGCUGUGGGGUGUGGUGAGGUCGGUUCACUUUAGUUUUCUUGUUAAUUUUAAGGCAACCUUCCAGUAUUGUUAGUAUAGUUGAACUGGUACCAGCUGGAGUGGACAUGGCCGACGGUAAAGGUGACGAGGUGAAGAAGGUGGACGCCUCUGGUCAGGAUCAGAGGUUUUCCUUCCCAUGGAGUAAGGACAAGGACAAAGGCGACUGCAAAGAAAAAUGUGAAGAGAAGAAAGACAAGAAAGACAGCAAGGACGGGUCAGACGGCUCCAAAAAAGAGCACAAGAAGAAGGAAAAGAAGGAGAAGAAAGAUAAGAAAGACAAAGAACAGAAAGACGGAAAUGAGUCGGACAGCUCCUCAUCCUCUUCAUCUUCAUCUUCAUCCUCCAGCAGUGAUGAGGAGGUUACCAACCAGGUCAGUGGACUGUAGGUGUGAGUCUGUCACAGAACUGGUUGUGCCAGCCGCCUCAGUUUUGCUUGGAGUCCACGCCCCACCCAGGAGAAGAAGAAGGAGUGAUUGCUUCACUGGACUUCUCUGUGCAUCUCACAUGAUGUUGUCUAUUGAAAAGUGUGUGUGUGUGUGUGUGUGUGUGUGUGUGUGUGUGUGUGUGUGUGUGUGUGUGUGUGUAGUCUCAUGGAAACAGUAGUUGUUUUUUGUGAACAAAAUGGCUAUUUCCAAGGAGUCAAUGUCCUGACAGUAAACUGUUUUUUGUUUUUUUUCCUGUGUCCUGUCAGUGAUUUCAGUUUUGCCAGAAGGUGGCAGCAUUUUCAGUAUAAAAUUUCAAUCAUUUCAAUAAAAUUUCAACAAUU
This is an RNA transcript of Myripristis murdjan (pinecone soldierfish), 885 nucleotides long. It is a transcript of the gene named protein PXR1-like, with no coding region annotated. The record is from RefSeq and is a predicted model, not a curated record. The transcript has 5 exons. Lineage: Eukaryota; Metazoa; Chordata; Actinopteri; Holocentriformes; Holocentridae.